AAGUAUGCCUGGAGAGAGAGGUGGGACGCUACAUAUUAGGUAACGUUUGUUCGUCGCGCUCUCCCGGAUGGAGGCGCGUGUUUGAUUCCUGGUCUCGCGCGGUUGAGUAGGCGCUGCCAGUGGCAUUUCUUCGGUGAAAUUCAGGUGCGCCAUCUCAGGAACCCUAGCUCGCGGAAGAUCUGGCACCGCUAACCGGCAUAAUCCAGGUUUUUGUCGCAAGGUCUCAAGAGAUUUUAGGGAUCGGUGAAGAGCAGGAGUGGAAUGCCGGGCUAGAAUCUGGCGUUUUGAUCUCUCGCUUCCCUAUCGAAAAUGCCCGAGGGCUCUGGAUUCGUGACUGCUUUCCAGGCGUCGCCCUUUGCCGGGACGGAAUCCGGGAGGCAGAGGUUUCAUGUGGAGCUUACCUCGAAUGUGGUGUCGUGGAAGAAGCUCCUCAAGAGUGCUCCACCCCCUCCUGCCGCUGAGGCUCCUCCCGGUGCUAAUCCAGCAUUGGAAGCUCGCUUGGCACCAGAGACGGUGCUGCUAUGCAAAGAGCCACGAGGAGGUCCAAAUCGUUUUAGUAACGUCAUUGAGAAGAUAGAACGCCUUUAUCAGGGACAAGGACAAGAAAGUGACGAUGAAAUUGUCGACAAUCACCUUGACAACGUCCCGGAUGAUGAUCAGUAUAAUACAGACGAUUCAUUCAUAGAUGACAAGGAGCUGGACGAGUACUUCUCUGUGGACUAUGCUAAAACGAAGCACAGCGGGUUCUUUAUCAACAAAGGGAAGCUAGAAAAUAUAGAACCCAAUCCGCCUUGUUUACCUGUUCCAAAGAAGAGGAAACGCAAGGAGGUGAAAACCAGUGGUUCUGAAAUGCAUGCUCAGGAUUCUUCAAAGAAAUCAAAAGCUGUUGGAAGGGUAGAGCAAGAAAGCGUAGACAGGCCUUCUUCGGAUGGAAUCGGGGAAUGUCUAGUAAACAAGCAGUCGGAAACGCAGGUUCGACAGGCAGCUGGAAAUGAUGCUUUUUCCUUCGACUACAACAAGUUUUUCUCAAGGGACGGGAGUAGUUGCAGGGAAGCCAAUUACAUAUCAAAAAAUGUGUCGUUGAAAGGGUUGACGAAGAACAGCUCCCGCACCAAGGAAAGCGAGAGAAAUGAGGUAGCUCUAAAGAAGAGCGCUGUUGGAAGUCCGAGCCGGCCAAAGUUUGUGAAGCCAUAUUCGGGUGCAGAUGCCUGCAAAGUUUCUUCGUCAGCGAAUUCAACGUUAGGAAACUCGAGCGUUGAUCCCCAAAAACGCUCGACAGCGAAAGUGUCACUUUUGGAAAGGGCCAUUCAAGAUCUAAAAGCUGGAGUUGCUCAGCUGCGCCCGAUUCCAGAUGUUCUAGAGCCAAAUGCGACCGGAAAAGUAAGGCGUUUGCCAAGGGAAAUAAAGGCCAAAAUAGCAAAAGUUGCUAGACUUGCGGCGAGGCAAGGCAAAGUUCCUGACGAGCUUAUCGAUCGUUUGAUGAGCAUACUUGGUCAUCUGAUGCAGUUGAAGACACUUAAGAGAAAUUUGAAGGAGAUGGUCGAAAUGGGCUUAGUCGCUAAGCACGAAAAGGAACAUCGUUUGUCGCAUAUGAAGCGUGACUUGACAGAAAUUGUUCGCUCAAGGGUACAAUCGAUACAGGCAAAGGCUGAAGAAGGAUUCUCCAACGACGUUCAAGGAGUUGGUGAAAAGAACUACAAAUGGGACCAAGCUACAGAAGACCGGAUCUGCGAACUCUAUGAUCAGUACCUUGAGGGAACUGAUGAAAAUAGAGGUACUCAAAGUCGCAAGCUCUAUAUGGAGCUGGCUGAUCUAUGGCCUGAGGGCUGGAUGGACAAGGACGGGAUCAAGAAUGCUGUUUACAGAGCGAAAGAAAGGAGAAAAGCUUUGCAGAAACAAAGUUUAAACGAAUCGAGGAAGAAGUUUUCGGAGAGGAUAGAUUUAAAUGAGAGACCAGAGGCGCCUUUGGCGUUGGCGCCAAACAUUAACGGGACAAUUUCCAACCGGGAUUUACCUUCUAGUGCUGUUCAAGCUGGGAAGCCUGCUGUUAUCCGGAAGCAAAUGCAGCGUGGGUACCUGGACAAGCACGACGAUUUCAAGGAUAAGAAACGGGUGGAGGAGUCCAUCGAUACCGAUCCGAGCACGUUGGCUUUUCUCAAGUUCAAGAAGCAGACCAAGCCUGUGGGAACUGGGGAGCUCGUGUUUGACGCCAGUUAUCAGGGGCUUCGAUCGGUGGAGUCGGUCUUUCUAGACAGACCGUCCUGAUACGUCACUUACAGGUGUAAGAUAAGCAGGAUUUGGAAAGUUAGAUAGCGAAGGACAGCUGGAUUCUUCGGAUUUUUUGUUCUCUUAAAGUUUGAAAGGGUGGAGAAGGGAAGCACGUAAUUGCUAUUAGAUGGGCCAGAGCAUUCGGACCGCACGAGCAACGACUCAGCUGGUCCAAAAUUUGUCGUCUGCUGACUACCUGGAACGGGAAGUUGAGGCACAAAUCGACAGCCCACCACGUCUCGUCCUGUACUGCCGUCUCGAGAAGGCCGUUCUCGACAACGAUCUGCUCCCACACGUUUUUCUUAUUCUUCAGAAGCUGUUCGAGACUGACCGGCUUUCCAUCGUACGCCGGACACUCAAGCUUGAACUCCCGAGCCAUGACAGCCCAGAGCCUCUCCCAGCUCGUGCAGUCUCCGUCGGCAAUGUUAAACGCUUCAUUCUUGGCACUUGGAUUCGUCGCAGCCCACAGCUCCUGCUCCGCAACAAGGUCGGCAUCCGAAACGUUCGUAAGCGUCUCCCACGACUGCCGGUUUCCUGGAAAAUUAAAGCUGAGCUUCUGGUGUU
Molecule: RNA transcript, 2832 nt
Organism: Selaginella moellendorffii
Lineage: Eukaryota; Viridiplantae; Streptophyta; Lycopodiopsida; Selaginellales; Selaginellaceae
Gene name: ubinuclein-1
Exons: 14
Source: RefSeq, a predicted model, not a curated record